UCCAUAGUGAAGUGGAAUAUUAAGGAAGUUGGCGGCAAACCUUUGGUCUUAGGUACACAAAUCACAUUUGAGGUUUGAUUCUUUGGGUAAGUUUGAAUAACAAAGCGAAGCCCAAUAACUAUCAGAAAACAGAUAAAGUAUAUAUGGCAGAUAGGUGAAGGGAAAGUACGCGUU
Clostridium sp. 7_2_43FAA is the source of this 174-nucleotide non-coding RNA. Lineage: Bacteria; Bacillati; Bacillota; Clostridia; Eubacteriales; Clostridiaceae. The record is from Rfam.